This 398-nucleotide ribosomal RNA is filed under the name uncultured bacterium. Its description in RNAcentral is "bacterial SSU rRNA". It matches the Rfam family "Bacterial small subunit ribosomal RNA", at positions 28 to 429 of the family's 1533-position model. The record is from RNAcentral.
GACGAACGCUGGCGGCGUACUUAACACAUGCAAGUCGAGCGGUAAGGCCCUUUCGGGGGUACACGAGCGGCGAACGGGUGAGUAACACGUGGGUGACCUGCCCUCAGCUCUGGGAUAAGCCUGGGAAACUGGGUCUAAUACCGGAUAUGACUCCAUGACGCAUGUUGUGGGGUGGAAAGCCUUGUGCGGCUAGGGAUGGGCCCGCGGCCUAUCAGCUUGUUGGUGGGGUGAUGGCCUACCAAGGCGACGACGGGUAGCCGGCCUGAGAGGGCGACCGGCCACACUGGGACUGAGACACGGCCCAGACUCCUACGGGAGGCAGCAGUGGGGAAUCUUGCGCAAUGGGCGAAAGCCUGACGCAGCGACGCCGCGUGAGGGAUGACGGCCUCGGUUGUAAC